RNAcentral lists this ribosomal RNA (253 nucleotides) under uncultured bacterium. RNAcentral's name for it is "partial 16S ribosomal RNA". It matches the Rfam family "Bacterial small subunit ribosomal RNA", at positions 524 to 776 of the family's 1533-position model. The record is from RNAcentral.
UACGUAGGGUGCUAGCGUUGUUCGGAAUCAUUGGGCGUAAAGCGCGUGUAGGCGGCCAUACAGGUCAGCUGUGAAAACUCGAGGCUCAACCUCGAGACGUCGGUUGAAACCGUAUGGCUAGAGUCCGGAAGAGGAGAGUGGAAUUCCCGGUGUAGCGGUGAAAUGCGCAGAUAUCGGGAAGAACACCCGUGGCGAAGGCGGCUCUCUGGGACGGUACUGACGCUGAGACGCGAAAGCGUGGGGAGCGAACAGG